AUGGCCGACAAGGGCUGCCUCAAGCGCCUCCAGAAGGAGUACCACGCGCUCUGCAAGGAGCCGGUGCCGCAGAUCGUGGCGCGCCCGCUGCCCAACGACAUAUUGGAGUGGCAUUUUGUACUUGAAGGAAGUAUAGCCACACCCUUUGAAGGUGGAUAUUACUAUGGGAAGCUUAAAUUUCCCUCUGAUUACCCUUUUAAACCUCCAAGUAUCAGCAUGACAACCCCCAGCGGCAGGUUUGCCCCUCACAAAAGGAUAUGCCUAUCAAUGAGUGACUUUCAUCCAGAAUCUUGGAAUCCCAUGUGGUCUGUAGCAAGCAUUCUAACAGGACUCCUCUCAUUUAUGAUGGAUGAUGCUCUUACAACUGGAAGCAUCAGAAGUACAGAUGGAGAGAAGAAGCGUUUAGCAAAGGCUUCUCUUGCUUACAACUGUGAGAGCAAAAAUUGCCCGCACUUCAGGAAACUGUUUCCUGAGUAUGUUGAGAAGUAUAACCAACAACAAGAAAAGGAGCAAACUGGCGCGGAACCAGAACCCCAGGAGAACCAUGCCCCAGCUCCUUCUCAUGCCGCCGUCCUGCAGGCGGCAGCUAUGGUGAACAAUAUAGGAAGACCAGUGGCCGAGGUCCGCGGCGAAAAGAAGCUGAAGAAGCGAGUGCCCUUUUGGCUGAUGGUGGUUAUUGUCUCUGUUUUUGGCGCGGUGAUGGCCUUGCCCCUGAUGCAACUUUGA
Molecule: ribosomal RNA, 726 nt
Filed under: Triticum aestivum (bread wheat)
Lineage: Eukaryota; Viridiplantae; Streptophyta; Magnoliopsida; Poales; Poaceae
Description: partial small subunit ribosomal RNA
Source: RNAcentral